AGAUUGAACGCUGGCGGCAGGCCUAACACAUGCAAGUCGAGCGGUAGAGAGGUGCUUGCACCUCUUGAGAGCGGCGGACGGGUGAGUAAUGCCUAGGAAUCUGCCUAGUGGUGGGGGAUAACGUUCGGAAACGGACGCUAAUACCGCAUACGUCCUACGGGAGAAAGCGGGGGACCUUCGGGCCUCGCGCCAUUAGAUGAGCCUAGGUCGGAUUAGCUAGUUGGUGAGGUAAUGGCUCACCAAGGCGACGAUCCGUAACUGGUCUGAGAGGAUGAUCAGUCACACUGGAACUGAGACACGGUCCAGACUCCUACGGGAGGCAGCAGUGGGGAAUAUUGGACAAUGGGCGAAAGCCUGAUCCAGCCAUGCCGCGUGUGUGAAGAAGGUCUUCGGAUUGUAAAGCACUUUAAGUUGGGAGGAAGGUUGUAACUUAAUACGUUAGCAACUUUGACGUUACCGACAGAAUAAGCACCGGCUAACUUCGUGCCAGCAGCCGCGGUAA
Molecule: ribosomal RNA, 502 nt
Filed under: uncultured soil bacterium
Lineage: Bacteria
Description: bacterial SSU rRNA
Rfam family: Bacterial small subunit ribosomal RNA
Source: RNAcentral